RNAcentral lists this ribosomal RNA (250 nucleotides) under uncultured Candidatus Woesearchaeota archaeon. RNAcentral describes it as "partial 16S ribosomal RNA". It matches the Rfam family "Archaeal small subunit ribosomal RNA", at positions 474 to 723 of the family's 1478-position model. Lineage: Archaea; Nanobdellati; Candidatus Woesearchaeota. The record is from RNAcentral.
CACCAGCGCCACAAGUGGGGACCGGUUUUAUUGGGCCUAAAGCGUCCGUAGCAGGUUUAGCAAAUUACUUGUGAAAUCGAACGGCUCAACCGUUCGGACUGCAGGUAACACUACUAAACUAGAGACCGGAAGACGUUGGAAGUAUUCAAGGGGGAGCGGUAAAAUGCGAGAAUCCCUUGAGGACUACCUGUUGCGAAGGCGUCCAACAAUGACGGGUCUGACUGUGAGGGACGAAAGCUAGGGGAGCGAA